Molecule: ribosomal RNA, 497 nt
Filed under: uncultured bacterium
Lineage: Bacteria
Description: partial 16S ribosomal RNA
Rfam family: Bacterial small subunit ribosomal RNA
Source: RNAcentral
GAUGAACGCUGGCGGCGUGCCUAAUACAUGCAAGUCGAGCGAACGGACGAGAAGCUUGCUUCUCUGAUGUUAGCGGCGGACGGGUGAGUAACACGUGUAUAACCUACCUAUAAGACUGGGAUAACUUCGGGAAACCGUAGCUAAUACCGGAUAAUAUUUUGAACCGCAUGGUUCAAAAGUGAAAGACGUUCUUGCUGUCACUUAUAGAUGGAUCCGCGCUGCAUUAGCUAGUUGGUAAGGUAACGGCUUACCAAGGCAACGAUGCAUAGCCGACCUGAGAGGGUGAUCGGCCACACUGGAACUGAGACACGGUCCAGACUCCUACGGGAGGCAGCAGUAGGGAAUCUUCCGCAAUGGGCGAAAGCCUGACGGAGCAACGCCGCGUGAGUGAUGAAGGUCUUCGGAUCGUAAAACUCUGUUAUUAGGGAAGAACAUAUGUGUAAGUAACUGUGCACAUCUUGACGGUACCUAAUCAGAAAGCCACGGCUAACUACGUG